Molecule: small nucleolar RNA, 133 nt
Organism: Nannospalax galili (Upper Galilee mountains blind mole rat)
Lineage: Eukaryota; Metazoa; Chordata; Mammalia; Rodentia; Spalacidae
Source: Ensembl
AAGACAGCCAACUGAUUUGGUUAUCUGAAUGUGUAUUUGCAGAGAUCUAGAAAAAGCUGGCAAUAGUAAGGCCAUGUUGUGCGCCUUAAGGAAAGCUACAUAGUCAUUAAGGUCCCCAAGAAUGGCAAUAAUA